CACGAUAGCGCAGGCCCUAAGCGUAGAAUCAACUAUGCGGACGGGUCAUGUCUAUUACCCUUGUUUAUUGAGCACCUAGUUUCCUUGGUAGGCUUGCCUGCCAAAAGGACACCCUUUUAAACCUUUUUAUUUUCAAUCAGCGUCUGAAUAAAAAUAAUAAUUA
RNAcentral lists this unclassified non-coding RNA (163 nucleotides) under uncultured Ophiosphaerella. RNAcentral describes it as "sequence contains ITS1". The record is from RNAcentral. Lineage: Eukaryota; Fungi; Ascomycota; Dothideomycetes; Pleosporales; Phaeosphaeriaceae.